This 65-nucleotide transfer RNA is filed under the name Lepidostoma inops. Its description in RNAcentral is "tRNA-Asn". Lineage: Eukaryota; Metazoa; Arthropoda; Insecta; Trichoptera; Lepidostomatidae. The record is from RNAcentral.
UUAAUUAAAACCAAAGAGAGGUAUAUUACUGUUAAUAAUAAAAUUGAUAUUCAUAUCUAAUUAAA